RNAcentral lists this transfer RNA (71 nucleotides) under Scleropages formosus (Asian bonytongue). It matches the Rfam family "tRNA". From Rfam's summary of the family: Transfer RNA (tRNA) molecules are approximately 80 nucleotides in length. Their secondary structure includes four short double-helical elements and three loops (D, anti-codon, and T loops). The record is from Rfam by way of RNAcentral. Lineage: Eukaryota; Metazoa; Chordata; Actinopteri; Osteoglossiformes; Osteoglossidae.
GGAUUGGUGAUUCAGUGGUAGACUUCCCACCUGCCACGAGGAAGAUCCAGGUUUAAUUCCUGGCCAAUGCA